AUGCUAUCUGGUGACGGGAGUAAACAUGGCUCGGUAGCCAUUGGGGAUGGACUGAUACGUUGUCCUAGAACUCUCUCAGAGAUCAAGAAGCACCAGACGAGCUCUCUUCCUGAGAUAGGGCCUCGACCACGGCCAAUGGAGCUCGCCAUCAAGGCUAGGGCCCAAGAGCUUUUGGCGGAGGCAAAUAGGCAGGCUAAGCAGAGGGAGAUGGAGUUGGAGGAGAGGACGGCUAGCAUGUUGGAGGCGAUGAGGAACUGGAACAACGCGUCUCACCAGGCUCUAUACGAGCUCCUCGUGUCCAUGUGCGAGAAAAACGGUCAGACCCUCCGUCGAUGCCCCAGAUUGCAUGCCUCCCAACAAGCAUCGACCGAUCCUUCUCCAUCUCGCACUGGCGCAACCCCGACCCUGACCGGUCCUUCACCUCCAUGA
Molecule: ribosomal RNA, 429 nt
Filed under: Triticum aestivum (bread wheat)
Lineage: Eukaryota; Viridiplantae; Streptophyta; Magnoliopsida; Poales; Poaceae
Description: partial small subunit ribosomal RNA
Source: RNAcentral